RNAcentral lists this ribosomal RNA (254 nucleotides) under uncultured bacterium. RNAcentral describes it as "partial 16S ribosomal RNA". It matches the Rfam family "Bacterial small subunit ribosomal RNA", at positions 524 to 777 of the family's 1533-position model. The record is from RNAcentral.
UACGGAGGGGGCUAGCGUUGUUCGGAAUUACUGGGCGUAAAGCGCACGUAGGCGGCUUUGUAAGUUAGAGGUGAAAGCCCGGGGCUCAACUCCGGAAUUGCCUUUAAGACUGCAUCGCUAGAAUUGUGGAGAGGUAAGUGGAAUUCCGAGUGUAGAGGUGAAAUGCGUAGAGAUCCGGAGGAACACCAGUGGCGAAGGCGGCCUUCUGGGUCGACCCUGACGCUGAGGCGCGAAAGCGUGGGGAGCGAACGGGG